AUUGAACGCUGGCGGCAGGCCUAACACAUGCAAGUCGAACGGUAACAGGAAGAAGCUUGCUUCUUUGCUGACGAGUGGCGGACGGGUGUGUAAUGUCUGGGAAACUGCUUGAUGGAGGGGGAUACCUACUGGAAACGGUAGCUAAUACCGCAUAAUGUCUCAAGCCCAAAGAGGGGGACCUUCGGGCCUCUUUCCAUUGGAUGUUCCCAGAUUGGAUUAGCUAGUAGGUGGGGUAACGGCUCACCUAGGCGACGAUCCCUAGCUGGUCUGAGAGGAUGACCAGCCACACUGGAACUGAGACACGGUCCAGACUCCUACGGGAGGCAGCAGUAGGGAAUAUUGCACAAUGGGCGCAAGCCUGAUGCAGCUAUGCCGCGUGUAUGAAGAAGGCCUUCGGGUUGUAAAGUACUUUCAGCGGGGAGGAAGGGAGUAAAGUUAAUACCUUUGCUCAUUGACGUUACCCGCAGAAGAAGCACCGGCUAACUCCGUG
This 490-nucleotide ribosomal RNA is filed under the name uncultured bacterium. Its description in RNAcentral is "partial 16S ribosomal RNA". It matches the Rfam family "Bacterial small subunit ribosomal RNA", at positions 30 to 507 of the family's 1533-position model. The record is from RNAcentral.